AAACGGGUGCGGAACACGUACACAACCUCCCGAUAAGGUGGGAAUAGCCCAGAGAAUUGGAUUAACUACCCCGUAACAUUGCGAUGUGGCAUCACAUUGCAAUUAUAGCUUCGGCGCUUAUUGAUGGGUGUGCGUAUGAUUAGAUAGUUGGCGGGGUAACGGCCCACCAAGUCUACGAUCAUUAGCUGAUGUGAGAGCAUGAUCAGCCACACGGGCACUGAGACACGGGCCCGACUCCUACGGGAGGCAGCAGUAAGGAAUAUUGGUCAAUGGAACGAAAGUCUGAACCAGCUAUGCCGCGUGAAGGAUUAAGGUCCUCUGGAUUGUAAACUUCUUUUAUAUGGGACGAAAAAAGGUCUUUCUAGAUCACUUGACGGUACCAUAUGAAUAAGCACCGGCUAACUCCGUG
RNAcentral lists this ribosomal RNA (409 nucleotides) under uncultured bacterium. Its description in RNAcentral is "bacterial SSU rRNA". It matches the Rfam family "Bacterial small subunit ribosomal RNA", at positions 100 to 507 of the family's 1533-position model. The record is from RNAcentral.